Molecule: unclassified non-coding RNA, 146 nt
Filed under: soil metagenome
Description: partial internal transcribed spacer 1
Source: RNAcentral
CCGAGUUUACAACUCCCAAACCCCUGUGAACAUACCACUUGUUGCCUCGGCGGAUCAGCCGCUCCCGGUAAAAACGGGACGGCCCGCCAGAGGACCCCUAAACUCUGUUUCUAUAUGUAACUUCUGAGUAAAACCAUAAAUAAAUC